Molecule: long non-coding RNA, 408 nt
Organism: Poecile atricapillus (Black-capped chickadee)
Lineage: Eukaryota; Metazoa; Chordata; Aves; Passeriformes; Paridae
Exons: 3
Source: RefSeq, a predicted model, not a curated record
CGCGACGCUGAGGGGACGGAGAGGCGGCCAUGGCGGCUCUGCGGGGGAAGAGGGGUCGGGAUCGCUGAAGAGCCGCCGUGAUGUGGGCACAGGAGGGAUCCAUCUCCAGGGCUUGAUGUGGAGUCCUGGCCACCCUGUGAAAAGACUCAGCCAUGGCGGGCAAAGGCAAAAAACGCAAGGGUGGGAAAGGCAGAAGAUCCAGAAAGGGUGGAAAGAAGCAGGUGAAAGGAGUGGAUCUCUUCAGCCCAGCUGCCAUGCUCAAUGCUUACUACAUCUCUCACAACGCUGCUGCCUUCCUGGAAUUCCGGGGCUAUCCCUGGCCUGGCUCUCUCAAAAAGAAGGGGAAGAAAAAGAAGUGAAAAUCAAACUCCCCCAGUGAAGACUUUGCUUUGUGAUUAAAUCCAUCCU